AAGACAGGUAAAGCUAAUAUAUAUAGGUUCACAGUUGGACUAUUUAUAUCUUUUAAUAUCUGCUAUAUCCUUACCUAAUUUAUAUUUUUCAUUUUCCUCUCAGUAUCUAAGGUCAACAAACUGGGGGCGAUGCAGCUGCUUUAUCAACAAAACCUUUUGAACACAAAGGGAAUCUCCAGCCUGGACUUCAUAUCAAGCUAUUUGUUUAUUUCAGCAGGAAACUACUGAUUAAAUAUGACUUUGUUGCAUCAGUAGUACAAACACACAUUCAACCCAUAACUCAACUAUUUCAUUUACUUGCACAACCUCAGGGCAGAAAAAUGCCAGACUUCAGAUUUAAUUGUUUUAACUUAUUAUAUCUUACUUAUAUCUUUUAAUAUCUGCAACAUAUUCACCUAAUAUAAAUAUCUUCUCUAUUUUCCUCUCAGAAGCUGAGUCAACCUCAGAGGAGAGAAAUAACACAACAACAACACAGAUCAACCUCGACAAUGGAAUAUUUUGCAGGAGAAAUUAUAUGUUUUAACAUUUCAAACAGACAACGAAUUAAUAUUAUGAAUAGAUGUUUGUAUUUACGGCAUGCAGGACAUGAUCUGGCACGUCUACAGCCUCCAGCCGUUGACAGACAGGUCAUAUGCAGCAUCCUGAAGGCUCUUGCAUUCAGCCUGCAGGCUUGGACCGCUGGAGAACUCUGCGGACGAAGGCCAGCGCUCCACCCAGGUGACCUUCGCCAUCAUGGAGACGAAUCUGACACGAGGAGCAAAAACAGGGGUUUGGUUGAAUGUAGGCCUGAGAUGUUAAGAGGGAAGACUUGUUCUUCAUUUCCUCUAUGACCUUGUGAUCGAUUGGAAGCUCAGGAUUCCUUUUCCUCGGACCAGGAAAAAUUAACCAAAUAACCAUUUUCUUUUCCAACUCGGUUUUUAUUUUAAAGACACCUGGAAAACGACAUUGACGAAAAGAGCCAACAGCUCAAAAUUAUUUUCUCCGAUGGAUGACAAAGUGCACUGCUGUGUCAACUGUUAAAUCUUUCUUUGAUUUAUCUCUCUGUCCUUCUUAAGACACUGAACUGAUGCGAUUAAAAGCGUCUGAGUUUUUCUGCUGCUGCGAUGCGGAGGAAACAGGUUUGGUAACGACAGUGUCACGGACGUCGUUUCUCACAGUCUUAAAUUAAGAAGUUCAUAGUUUGCACAAAACCACAAGUAACUUCUGUCUUUUAGAUCUUAUCUGCCGCCAGCUGGCUCAGCAUUCAUGUUAAUUGAGUAGUGUAAAGAGGAAGGAAGUUGGAUGUAUUAACCAGCUUGACUUCUCUCUUUGGUCUCCACUUUCACGCUCUUCUGUGAUCUGUGACGUGAGUUAUGCACAUUAUUUGUCUGCAGACUCAUUUUUAUUGUGUUUGACGGUGAUUGCAGCAGCUACUAUGAGUGUAACAGCAGCAGCGAGUGGAUUUGUUGUCCUUCUUCUUACUGUGCCAGUGGUGCUGAGUCAGAGUGGAUGGAGUGUGACUUACGAUGCUCUUGAGUCUAAGAUCUGUGCCCCCAGAGGAUCAACAGUGACCAUUCACUGCAACUACGCAUACCCACUCAGACACACCCCGAAUAGGGCAGUGUCGGAAUCAUUCUGGUUUAUAAAAGACAGUAUUGGGGUUUAUGCGGAUCUGAGAACAGACCCGCAGUACUCAGGUCGCGUGCUGUAUGACUGUGAAAAAGAAGAGAAAAAGUGCACCCUGAUCAUCAGUGACGUGAGACAGAGCGACUCCGCUGAGUACAAGUUCAGGUUCACAACAAACCAACCUGCAGACUCUUGGACUGGUUCACCUGGAGUCACGUUGUCUGUUGCAGAUUUUCAGGUACAGGUGAGAAGUUCAAACCAGUAUUCAUCUCACAAAGAGCUCAUGUGUCAGAGCAGUUGUCCUCUCCCUCAUACUCUGACCUACGUCUGGUACAACAAUCAGCGGGAGAUUCAGAGAGGACCUUCUCCGUCUUAUUCAAGUAUAUUUUAUUCUGGAGAUAUAGUUUCCUGUGCCGUUAAAGACAACGAGAGGUCCCGCUCCCCGCCAAUGUUGGUGCAGAGUCAGAAUGGAUGGGGUGUGAGUUACGCUUCGACUGAGAUCUGUGCCUUCGGAGGAUCAACAGUGGAUAUUAAUUGCACCUACACAUACCCAGGAAAACUGAAUAACAAGGCCACUUCACUGUCGAGAUCAUUCUGGUUUGUUAAAGACCCUUAUUUGGAUCUGACAACAGAUCCGAAGUAUUCAGGUCGUGUGGAGUACACCUGUGAAGACAACAAGUGCUGUCUGAGAAUCAGUGACCUGAGACAGAGCGACUCAGCUGAGUACAAGUUCAGGUUCAUAACAAACCAACCUGCAGACUCUUGGACUGGUUCACCUGGAGUCACAUUGUCUGUCAAAGACCCUCAGCUCCAGGUACACGUGAGGAGAUCAAUGAACAUUCAGAUUUCUAACUGGACAGAGCUGACAUGUCACAGCAGCUGUCAGCUUCCUCAUCAUCUUUCCUACGUCUGGUACAACAAACACAACCAAGUUAAAGGGGGAAAAAAAUAUUUUCUCCUUGAACACGUUGAAGCUGCAGACAGUUAUUACUGUGCUAUAAAAGGACAUGAGCAUAUCCGUUCUGCUUCUGUGUGUGCUCCAGAGGUUCCCGUUGUCUCGAGUCCCAGUGGUGAAAUCAUGGAGGGCAGCUCAGUGACUCUGACCUGCAGCAGUGAUGCUCAACCAGCAGCCAAUUACACCUGGUACAAGAAAAAUGAAAGGGAAGAAUUUCAACUUCUCCUUGAAGGGACUCAGUUUGUUUUCAGCUCCAUCCAGUCGUCAGACUCUGGAGUGUAUCACUGCACAGCUGAGAAUGAGCUGGGAAGGAAUUCAACAGACAUUAUAAUUGCUGUGAAAUAUGCUCCCAGGUCUCCCUCCGUGUCAGUGAGUCCCACUGGUGAGAUAGUGGAGGGCAGCUCAGUGAGUCUGACCUGCAGCAGUGAUGCUAAUCCAGCAGCCAAUUGUACCUGGUACAGGAACCAUACGAGGAUUGGGGAACAGAAAAACAUUUAUCAUUUCACUGCCAUCAGCUCUGGGGACAGAGGGGUUUACCACUGCAAAUGUGAGAAUAAACAUGGACACAACUCGACAUCGAAAUCCAUAGAUGUCCUGUAUGCUCCCAAGCUUCCCUCCGUGUCAGUGAGUCCCAGUGGUGAGAUAGUGGAGGGCAGCUCAGUGAAUCUGACCUGCAGCAGUGAUGCUAAUCCACCAGCUGAUUACACCUGGUACAAGGAGAACAGCGACUCAGCAAAAGCAUCAGAGCAGAUCUUCAUCAUCGCUGAUGUCAGAGCUGAACACGGUGGGAAUUAUCUCUGCGCAGCCCAGAACAUACGAGGGCGCCACAAUUCCACCGUAAGAUUGACGGUUAAGGCAGUUUCCCUUGGAGCAUGGAAAUCUGCUGUCAUUCUAAUAACCUCUGGUGUUUUCCUCGGAAUAAUACUUCUCUUCACCUUCUUCCUGAUAAGAAAAAUGAGGACCUCCAAGCAAUCAUCCCAACCCGGAGACCGAUCUGACAACAGUGAGAAGUUUCCUUCCAAUCAGUCGGAGGAACAGCGUGACUUUCACUCUGCCACUGUCCACUUCUUGAAGUACCAGACAGAUCCUAUCUACUCCAACAUCCGACCGGUAGGAGCCAGCAGACAUGAGGAGGAUGAUGAUGAUGAUGACGAAGAGGAGGAGGAUGAGGUUGCGUACGCUACUGUCACCUUUAAAAGUUCUGACCCGAGCAGAGUACAGGACACUGGAGAGGAUCCAGCCACGUUGUACAGUACAGUCUCGAAAAACUUCUGAUCUGUAGACCGACGUCUGCAGACUGAAAUAUCUCAACAACUACUGGAUGGAUUUACACAGAAAAGCUGAGGUCAACCUCCGGGGACACAUAUAACACGACAACACAGAUCAACCUCGACAAUGGAAUAUUUUGCAGGAGAAAUUAUAUGUUUUAACAUUUCAAACAGACAACAAGGUAAUAUUAUGAAUAGAUAUUUGGCUUUACUGCAUGCAGGACAUGAUCUGGCACGUCUACAGCCUGCAGCCGUUGACAGACAGGUCAUAUGCAGCAUCCUGAAGGCUCUUGCAUUUAGCUUGCAGGCUUGAACUGCUGGAGAACUCUGCAGAUGAAGGCCAAAGCUCCACCCAGGUGACCUUCCCCAACAUGUAGACAAGUCUGAUUUAAGAAACAAAAACAGGGAUUGGUUAAAUGUAGCCUUCAGAUCUUAAUAGGAAUGAUUUGUUGUUCCUGCCAUCUAAUAGAGGCCAGAAACUCAGGAUUAAUUUCUCCUGACCAGGAAAAAUGAAUGAAGAGGAGCAGAGAUGUAACAUCACAUCUAGGCGCAUGACACCUGGAAUUGUUUUGUAUUUUUACUGUUAUGAUGUUAUUGAUAAAGAUAGGCUCUUCACACUUAGAUCAAAUGCAAUUAAUAAAUUCUAAAUCCAUUAAAUCAGAUAAUCAACAUCUCUGUAUGAUCGUAUUGAUUAAAAAUCAUGUUGCAAUUA
Scophthalmus maximus (turbot) is the source of this 4540-nucleotide RNA transcript. It is a transcript of the gene named B-cell receptor CD22-like, with no coding region annotated. NCBI's taxonomy places the organism in Eukaryota, Metazoa, Chordata, Actinopteri, Pleuronectiformes, Scophthalmidae. The record is from RefSeq and is a predicted model, not a curated record. The transcript has 13 exons.